GCAUGAGAGGCGACAACGGCAAACCAGGAAACCCUGGAGCAAAGUUGUGGAGAGAAAGGCGUAGCUGGUCCUCCGGGUAUUAAAGGAGAUAUGGGUGUACAAGGUCAAAAA
Molecule: long non-coding RNA, 111 nt
Organism: Nematolebias whitei (Rio pearlfish)
Lineage: Eukaryota; Metazoa; Chordata; Actinopteri; Cyprinodontiformes; Rivulidae
Exons: 3
Source: RefSeq, a predicted model, not a curated record